CUACGGGAGGCAGCAGUGGGGAAUAUUGCGCAAUGGGCGAAAGCCUGACGCAGCGACGCCGCGUGAGGGAAGAAGGCCUUCGGGUCGUAAACCUCUGUCAGGAGGGAAGAACCCUGUGAAGUCGAAUAGGCUUUGCAGCUGACGGUACCUCCAGAGGAAGCACCGGCUAACUCCGUGCCAGCAGCCGCGGUAAUACGGAGGGUGCGAGCGUUAAUCGGAAUCACUGGGCGUAAAGCGCACGUAGGCGGCAAACCAAGUCGGGUGUGAAAGCCCUCGGCUCAACCGAGGAAUUGCACUCGAAACUGGUUUGCUCGAGUUCUGGAGAGGGUGGCGGAAUUCCCGGUGUAGGAGUGAAAUCCGUAGAUAUCGGGAGGAACACCAGUGGCGAAGGCGGCCACCUGGACGGGAACUGACGCUGAGGUGCGAAAGCGUGGGGAGCAAACAGGAUUAGAUACCCCAGUAGUC
RNAcentral lists this ribosomal RNA (465 nucleotides) under uncultured bacterium. Its description in RNAcentral is "partial 16S ribosomal RNA". It matches the Rfam family "Bacterial small subunit ribosomal RNA", at positions 339 to 795 of the family's 1533-position model. The record is from RNAcentral.